UACCUAGGCGAUUCCGACGGCGAGGGAGCGAGUACGGCGGCGGCUUGGUCGCAACGAUGUCGGCGGCGGCUCGACGAGUUCCGGGCUUAGGGUUUUGGGGGUUCGCGCGGCGCUUGAAGGCGAUUAGGUUUCCUAGGGAGGCGUGCGACGCUCUAUGCAAGGCUUUUAUAGGCUCGGGUGAACCUCGGGAGGCGCGCGGGUCCACACCCGAGGCGGCGGCGUUCUUCCCC
Molecule: long non-coding RNA, 230 nt
Filed under: Sorghum bicolor (sorghum)
Lineage: Eukaryota; Viridiplantae; Streptophyta; Magnoliopsida; Poales; Poaceae
Description: long non-coding RNA (SBIC_LNC018144)
Source: RNAcentral